UGGCACAGCCAUAGCAAGAGCAUCGCAGCCUGAAGAGGAAGAAGGUGCCUUUGCUCAGCAGAAAGAGACCUAGGCUGCAGUCCUCUGUGCAUCCCAGCCCCCUCACCCUCUCCUCGUUUACAGGAAUAAUGGGGGUCGAAUGGCCGCAGUUCCAGGAACACGUUGAUUUGGAAGGUGCAUCACGGAGCCACACUCCACUUAGAAAAGGGAGAUAUCCCAAGAUGCUCUGGAGUAUUUAUUGUGCUGAGAACUGUCUCAGGUCUCUCUUCACUGACCACAGGGAUUUUUGUUUUUCAUCUUGGGCAGCCACAGGGAUUUUUGUUUUUCUCCUUAAAAUCAGCAACCAGUUCAGACCCAAGGAACAAGGUGCUCUUUGACCUUUCCUUGACACCAGGCUUGGACCAACACUCUGGUACAGUUACCCCGCCCUCCACACCUCUGGCCUGCUUCUCAAGCGACUCCAGAGCCAAGAUGUCUGCGCACUAGCAGAAAGCAGAGACACGAAGAUUCCAAAUGCACCGCAGGCCAAAUAUCUCACAGCUUGCAGUUGUAUUUGGAAUGGCACUUAUUGGUGUUAUUUAUCAGCAUUGCCAACAGGUCUGUGCUGAAUUCUCACAUUUACGCUACACAGCAAGGAGCUCCAUCUUUUCUACAGGCUCAGCCCUAGUGACAAAAUUACUGACACAGAGUCAGUCACCCCCCCCCACAAACCAAUAUUGAUAUCAAAGAAUACAAUGAUAGUAUAGAGGUACAAAGAUAUCAGACAGUGCUAGUAUCAUAUCUAGCUUCUCUCAACAUAAAGUUACCAAAGCGUUGAUAUCAGGAUUAAUAGUUGAUACAUAUCUUGACAUCAACGAAGCAGCAGUGAACUUCUUAUCCACCAUAAAUACCAUAAAUGAUGGCAAUCACUCACAUAAGGCUUUGUAAUCAGAGUAUGAAACUAUGAUCAAAUUCGAAUUUGAUGACAACAAAUGGCAUUGUAUUUUUGAUAUCAGGCCAAGUUAUGUGCAUUCAGUAUCAAGAUGCUGAAUGCACUUGUUCUUGUUCAGGUCUUGAUAUUACAGUGUGUUGAUGUUUCGACACCAAAAGCAAAUGUAUCACAACUUUCCAACGUUGAGAUGAAAGGAGCAAUGCUAGUUUUGAAGAUAAACAUACAAAGGAGUGCUGUUAUACAUUUUAAAGGUCUAGAAUAAAGUCUUAUGGCUGAACCUAUUUAAGGUCUACAACAAUAACAUCACUGUAGGUUGCCAGUACCAUUACCAUCAGGCUAGCACUUGCUUGAACCCUGGCCUUUAGUUUGUGUCUCUGCCAGCAGGCUCAUGAACAAAGUGACCAAUGCGGUAGAAAACAGAGGAAGUGAAUAAUAAAAUACGACUAAUUUCUUAUUGCUCACAACCUUGGGGUCACUCUGAAACAAAACAUAUGCUGAUAUGCUCAUGUAGCAAUGUUGCCAUGCCAAGUGUUUUGUUUUUAUUUC
Molecule: long non-coding RNA, 1477 nt
Organism: Anguilla rostrata (American eel)
Lineage: Eukaryota; Metazoa; Chordata; Actinopteri; Anguilliformes; Anguillidae
Exons: 3
Source: RefSeq, a predicted model, not a curated record